CUUUUUUUUUUUGUAACACUAUGGUCCUUUAUUAUUUUUUAUUUGUAAUAUUUAGGUCCUUUAUUUUUUAUAAAUAAAUAAGAUAAGGACCAAAUUGUUACAAAAAAAAAGGAUUAAAGCGUUACAAAUAAAAAAAAUAAAGGACCUAAAUGUUACAAAUAAAAGAUAAAGUACCAAAAUGUUACAAAAGAAUAAGAUAAAGAAUUUGCGGUGUAAUUUUGCCUAAAUUAAACCACUUUUUGAAAUGACAUAUGCUAACAUCUAUCCCAAGAGCAUACAAUAAACAACUUAAUUUAUAAAUAUUUUUCUUGAAAGUUGUUCAUUCAACUUUUCAAAAGUCAAAAUUAUUAUAUGUUUCAUUGUAUUAAUUCUACUUUUGAGUUUCUUAACAUGUACUCCCUCCGUCCCAAAUUAUAAGAGAAAAUUGGUCAAAGAAAGUUGAUGUAUUUGGUUAAAAAUUUGGAUUAAAUACAUCAAUUUUGUUUGAUCAAUUUUCCCUUAUAUUUUGAGACGGAGGGAGUACCAUUAAGACAGACUCUCUUCAUCCCAAAAUAUAAGUAAAAAUAGGCAGUUAAUAUAUAUGGUCUAAAUUUUAAACAAAAUACAUCAAUUUUUGUUGACUAAUUUUUAGUUAUAUUUUGAGACCGAUCAAAUACAUUAACAAGACCCUUUCCAAUAUAUGUGCAUGUCAAAAAAGUCAACGGUAUGUAUCAACUCUUCCAUGCAUCAAAUUGAAGAACUAAUUAAAGAUGAUUUCAAAGAAUCACAACAAAAGAAAACCAAAGGAGUAUAUAUACAUAUAAAUAAUUACCUGUGUGAUAGAUUAAAGUUCCCCAUGUUGUAUGGGGUGAGCAGGGGUAUUGUUGUCUCUCCACCCUCGACUACUUCGUUGCCUUCUCCUUUCUCCCUAUGAUAAAUAAAUUACUUAUCCCUAUGAAGUAAGAGAUAGCAAGGAACUAAAUAAGGUAAAAAGAAUUAGACCUUUUGUAAUCUAUUUUUUAAAAUAUAAAGAAUAUUCUUUUCAAUUCAAAACUUAUGUUUUUUUAUUUUUAUUUGCUUAACUAACUCUUUUAAACAAUACUAUACCACUGGAAUAUUUUUAUGGCAUUCCAUUUAUUGGUGGGUUUUUUUUUAUAAGCUCCAUUUAUUGGUGGUGAGUCUUGUCGUGGGUGAUCAAGUCAAUGCUAUUAUUUUAAUUUUAUGCAUCUACAUUAAAAAAUCAUCAAACAAUAAAUAAAAAUAGUUCAUUCGUUAAAAAAAAUAUAAAUAAAAAUAUUUCCAGCGUAUGCUCUUUUUAUUUUUUUAAUUUGGGUCACCUUUUUAAUUAUUAUUCUAAGUCAGUUGAGUGCAUCAAGCAUGCUAAUGUAUAAUUUUGACGAUUAAUAUUUUUAAUUGUAUAAUAAUAAACAUUAUAAAAAUAUGAUAUUUAAAAAAUACUCAUAGAGAUUAAUCCAACAUCAUCUUAUAUGCUAAGAUUUGUUUUUUUACUUAUUAGUAGAAAAAAUAAGGUGAAAGGAAAAUAUGUGAAUAUAGUGCAUAUAGUCAAAAUGACUCAUUCAUUUUGGGACGAAGGGAGUAUAGUAAUUAAAAUUUUACUUUUGUAUUCUAAAAUGAAUAAAUUGGAUAUUUGGCAUUUGAAUCCUAAUUUUUACAUUUAAAAUGUAAUAUUCCUAUCAACUUAACUAUGACUUUUGUUAACAACUUUUGAAUUAUUUCUACAUUUAAUUUUUUUUGGGUCAAGUAGAAAUUCCGCUCUUUAAAGUGGAUAAGUGGAAUGACCUUUAAGUAUCUUUCUUUUCUACAUAUAUAAUAUAAUGUAUUUGUCAACCGAGCUAGGCUCACAAAAUCAUUUAACUAUGGCUCUGUUUGGCAAAAUUAAGCUAUAAACUAGCUUAUAGCUGAUAGCUGAAAAACUACCUGAUUAAAAUUAAAGUGUUUGAUAAAAUUAAUUUUUAAAAUGAUUGAUAAAUAUAAAAAAACAUAAAAGAACAUAUAUAGUGGAUAGUUUUUCUCUUUAGUGUGGGUAAUUUUUAUUUUAUAAAAAAUAAUAAAAUAAAAUUAAAUGUUAGAAAAGGAAAAAAUUAUAAAAAAAACUAUAAGAUCAAAUGCUACUUGAAAUAACAUCUAAAAAAAAUAUAAAUUAAUGAGUUGUUUUUUUACCAAACACAUUUAUUUUUUUCGAACAAGCUUGUAAGUUAAUCCAAUACUAAGCUAUGUUAAGCUAUGUCUAUGUGAAUAAUAAUGUGUUGCUUCGAUCAUUUUUCUGCAUCUCGGUAUGCAACUGCAUAGACUAAUCCCCUCGAGGUAACUGAGAUCCAUGCAAGAGAUUGACCUCUCUCAUCAAAUAUUUCUCCAUACACACCUGUCGGAGAUUAAAUCCAGGAUCAAAUGGUUAAGGGACUUAAAUAUCUACCACUUAUCUACCACUUGUAUCACCGAGUAUUAUAUUAUAUUGUAAUACUAUAUAAAAUGAAAAUAAAAAAGUAAUUUUGAGGCGUCUCUGACUCUGUUGUUGUCCUGCGCUCAUGAUUAUCGCAAACAACAACCUUAGCUUUCAUUUUCCAUUGAUUGUUGACGGCGCAACAUUUCUUGCCACAAUAUCUACCUUCCUCCUUAUCUUUCCAAUUUCAAUCUCAAUCUUCUUCAAUAACCUAUUUACUGCAUCAUUCAUGACCCAUCAACGUUUCCACCCUAUCUGAUACCCCCACCUUAUUCAUUCAUUCAUGGAAACUGGACGAAACGAAACACCCUUUUUGGGUUUUCGUUUUGUCUCCAAAUUUUUAUUUUGCGCCAUUUCUGGAACUCUCACUGCAUGUUUUGCCCUUGGUAUUUUCUAAUUUCCUUAUGCUAUAUAUUCCUUCAUUUCAUUCUUCGGGUUUUAAUCUUUUUAACAUUUUUGGGUUGUCCUAAAGUUUCAAACUUUAUUAAAAUUUACCUUUAUAUUGGUGUUUGCUGUUAGGUAGAAAUAUAGCUAGAAUAUUUUUAUUUUUUCGGUGCUGAGGGGGCCAUGGUAAUCUGGAGUUUGGCUUAACUAAAGCUGGCCAAUAAUUGUUCCUCUCAUGAAUUGAACUCGGGUUCUCUAGAAUGAUUCGUUUUUAGGGGGAGCUCAUUAACCACUUGAGCACAAUUACCUGGUUUAUUUGUUAGUUUUUUUUAAUUCUGAAACUUAAACAUGAAAAAUUAACUGUUUGCACAAAUCAAAUUUAUGGAGUCUUUUUUUUCCAUGGCUUGAAUUGUUUGUAGUAGAAUUUAUGUUGUAGAUGCUUUUGUUUGUUUAUAAAAGUUUGAGAAUUUUUGGGGUGUCGAAUGUUUUUUACAUAGUCAAUAGCCAUUUUUUUGAGUGUUGUUUUGAGGCGUGUUUUUGUUGGCGAGAUCUCAUGGAUUGUGUUUUUCAAUUGCAGCUGGGGCCCUCACAGGAGCUAUAGCUGGUGCUUUAGCAGCUAAGGCUACAAAGAGUGGUUUUCUCCGGGGAGUUUCAUUGGGUGCCAUUGCCGGGGCUAUACUCUCUGUGGAGGUCUUGGAAGCUUCUCGUGCGUAUUGGUGUAUGGAGCAAACCGGUGCACGUGGCGCAUCAUCUAUGGUUGGUGAUCGUUAUGAUCUUGAUUUACAUUUAGCUUGAUUCUUUUAUGAGUACAAUAAUCUGUAGCUUGCAAAAUUGAUAUGGUUUAGCUUGAAAUGCAUAGAUAUGGGAGAUUUUAUUACAUGCACUUGCUUGUGCUUGUCCGUCUGAAGAGUGUUUUUUGAGUGGCCAUUUUAAUUCAUAGUUUUAAACCAAUUUUCUAACAUUUAAAUCCAGGCAGAUUUCAUAGAAGAACUUGUUCGUGGAAGGCUUGUAGAAGAAUCGCUAACACCUGCUAUUUUAACCGCAUACAAUUUGCAAGUAAUAACCUUUUCUAUAUCUCCCCCAAAUUUUGUUGUCUUUUAAAAGCAAUAGCUUUGUGUGUCUUUUGAUUCAUAUAAUAGUCUAGUUGCGAUGUUGAAAUCCGAGUUGGCAGUAACAAAAGCAGUUGGAUAUGGCCGAUUUGAGAUGGGCAACUCAUCUGGUUACCAACUUUGCAUAUAAGAUCCACAAAUAAUGCCACUGGUUUUUCCUUUAUAGUGUGAAAGCCUGUAAAAUGCGAACUUUGCUUUUCUGCUCAUGUCUAAUUUCAUGAACAUCUGUUGAAAAAACCUCAGAAAUUAGCCUCAUUUCUUUCAUUGCACCUGGAAAUGUUUUUGUUGCCAGUUUGAUCAACUUGCGCCUUUUGGUGAUUGAACAACAUGCUUGUUUACCCUAUAUCAUAUUUGAAUUCUGAAGCUAAAAAAGCGGAAGUUUUUACUAUUUAUUUUGUAAACAAAACUUCAAAAGUAAUAGGAAUGCUAACCAGAGAACAUGAAAUUGAAAACAAAGAUGAGUAUUUAUCCAUACAAAUAUAAAACACGGUAAGGCAAAAACUAGAGAGACACCCCAAAGCUUGUUUUGUAAAGGUUAUUGAAAAUCUAUGUUGAUGAAUACACCGGUGAUGCAUUUGUACAGUAUUAUCUUUAACCUUUUUAUGUAUUUUUGGAAACAUAUGUUGAUGUCCAUUUCUAAUUGUUUUUUUAUGUUAUUAAUGACAAUGAUUUCAUGCAUCUCAUUCUAGUUUGUUCUCGUUUAUUUUUAUAACUCCAAAGCAGACCAUUUUAAGAUUUGUUAUCAUGCAGCUAAAAUGAACUUUUUAAAAUGUUUGCUGUGUUGACUGUAUUGUACUUCCAUAUGGUUAUUAUUAGUAUUGCAUCCAUAAUUUCACAGUUUUAGAAGUCAUCUGUGUAUCAUCUGCUGUAAUUUCAUUAUUUUGUCAUUUUCAGCACAAUAUAUUGUUUAUAACGUAUUAUUACCAUUUGUUUUAGUUUGAACAGGUUGGAAUUGCUAAUAACGCAGGCUAUGAUGAGUUUCAUGAUGUUCAUAGCUUAGCAGCAUCCAGAGGAUUGUCAGGUGAUUCGUUGGAUAAGCUACCGCACCAUAUGAUUUUGAAGGACAUGAAGGCAGAGGAUACUUUCUGCGCAAUAUGUUUGCAGGUGAUUAUUAUUUUCAGUAUUUGUGAUAUAAUGACCACAAAGAUGCAUUGCUUGCACUGAUACUUACCACAAUUCUUCAUUAUCUCCAUUUGAGUUUUGGAUGAUAGUGUUAAUGUAAUCAUUGAGAAAUAUAAUUUGCAGGAUAUUGAAGUAGGUGAAAUCGCAAGAAGCUUACCUCGUUGUGAUCAUACAUUUCACUUGAUAUGCGUGGACAAGUGGCUUGUCAAGAACGAUUCGUGUCCUAUUUGCAGACAGAAUGUAUAGUUUUUUCAUUUGUAUUGUGUUUAUAUUUAUGGUCAGAUGUAUAUGUUGUAUUUAGUUGUUUAUAUGCAAACUUUUAUUUUUCCAGAAAGUGGGAGGAUGCAUUUGUAUAGUUGACAUUUUCAUUUUUAUACCAUUCUGUAAUCUAGUCCAAUAAUGUUUUGGUAGGAAAAACCAAAUGCUUAAUUGUCAUGUUUUGAAGAGAAAUUGAUAAUAAAGUUUGAAAAGCAGAUGAACCAUUUUCUCCUAUCUUAAAUUGUUUCUAGUAAAUAGGGAUUUAUGUCCUUGAAAUUGUAAUGGUCUAUCAAUUUAGUAUCUCCAAUUUACGAAUUAACAAUUUAGCCUCUUAAAUUAAAAAAAUAUCAAUCAAUUUAAUCUAUUCAUCCAUAUAUUUCUCUAGUGAGCAUUUGUCAAAACUACUCCAAUUUAUAACAGUGCAUAGUUCUUAAGUUUUGUGGCAAAAUUUGUGAAAAACACCAAUUUGAUUGAUACUUCCCAAAUUAAAUGACUAAACCGUGCUAUUUUGCAAAUUUGAGAAAAUAAAUUGAAUGAACUUUACAAUUUCUAACAGUGCCUACUUAAAUUAUGUUGUGUGUGCCUUAAAAUCUCAAGUUUUUCUGUUAGAAGAAGUUUCAGGUUCUGCCUCACGCGUGGGGCAAAUUGCAUUGCAUCACUCACUAGGCUCACAUAAUGGCAAUAUAUGGUGAUUUUUGUGAUUCUAGGUACUGGUCCAUGCAUGGGGCACAUAGUAUUGUACUUUCUUCCUGCAUGGAGCGCAGGUUCAUGAAAAUUUCUCAACGCACCCACCCACUUUCUCCCCCACUCCCCAAAAAAUUCGGAAAAUGUUUUCCGAAUUUUUUAUAGUGUAAAUUUUACACUAAAAAACAGUUCGGAACGUAUUUUCUGAAUUUUUUUAGAUGCGCUAGGGAGUGGGGGAGAAAUGUUGAGGUGCGUUGAGAAAUUUUUCAGGUUCAUGUGGGCGCAUGGACCAUAUUUGUUAUAAAAGCCUAUGAAGUUGACAAAAUUUGACUUUUUGUGUGAUAGGGUUUGGGAAAAACUUAGAUAGACAAAUAGAGGGAUUUAUUGGGUGAUCAAGAUCAAUGAGUGCACUUUGGAGUAGAUCUAAGGUUGGGAAACACAUAGAAAGCAACUUGGGAGUGAGCUUCAUUGUUCAUCUUUGUUCUUGAGUGAAGAGAGAAAAGUAGAGAACAAUUGUGAGCAUUUUUUUAGCACCUUUUGUUGAAUCUCUUAUUCAAGGGAAGAGAUUGAAAAAUGGGUAGAGAUUAGGUUUGUUUUUGGUGAACAAUCGUAGCUAAUUUCUUGUAAUUUAUUUCAUCUAUUGUAAACAUUGUUCAAAUAGUGAAUCAGAGAGCUGCUCUCUCCUCAGAUGCAAGUCAUUGUUGGACCGAACUGAGUAAUAAAUAUCUCAUGUGUUUUGUUCCUCUUUACUAUUUCUUGUUAUUUGCUUCGUUGGUUUAUGCUUACAUUUAGAUUGUUAGAAUUAAUAUUGCUUGAAAUGCUUAGUGUUGGUUGACAUUGAACUUUUGCUUCAUUGUUAUUGUUAGAUUGAACAAGAGGUUCAAAAUUCACAACAAACAAAUUAUUUGAUGUAACAGUUUUUAGUGUCAGUUUGAUAACAUUUAAAUAUUGGAAUCCAAGUUUCUAAACGUGCAACCCAAAAAUAAGAAACUCUGAUUAUGAAGUGGUCUCCAAGUUCUGAUAUUUUAGAGGAAAAUUUUAUGGUGAGUUAACAGAAAAACAAUGAAGUAGAAUAGUUAUUGAAACAACAAGCGAUUAACUUUGUAUGUUAAGCAAUGGAUUUCUGCUGUCAAAGGAAGAACUUGUCAAUAGAGCACUGAGAUUAAGGAAUGUUCUAUUGACACUCUUAGAGCUAGAGAUGAAACCAAAUGAUAUUAACUUGGAGAAAAAGAGAGAAAAGAAAAGUUAUAACUGGUUUUCUUUCAACCUUAUAUAAUGUCAAAAAACACAAAACUUCUUUACAGUAUGGUGGAACACAACCGAAAGUUACAAGCUAAUAGACAGUAGGAUUAUUAAAGAGGUUCUGAUAUUCCAAGAGAUUAUACACAAAUAUGCAUCACAGCAGAAGCCUUAAUUGGCUGAUUUCUAGUUUAUUCCACAGAGAAGCAAUUGCUGGCAGUGAUAGCAAGCCAUGUCAAAUUGGCCUGCUUAUGAAUAUUGUCUGUCAGGUUCAAACACAGUAAAAUCAACAGUAAGAAUUAGAUUGAGAUCAUGCUCGGGAUAAUAUUUUUAACAUUUAUUUUUUCCAGCAUCGCAAUUUUUCAUGCAACCAAGAGUAAGAUUUCUAUAAGUAUCGAGUAUUUAUCCGUCAUAUACAUGCGACAAUUGAGUUGCAAGUUUAACAAUAUAAUACAAUAAUAUUGAAACUAAAUUGCAAGCAAUCUCAGCAAUUAUUUUACUUGAUUAUUUUUGUAUGUUGAAAUGUCAAAAUUUAAUUGAGAAACCUUGAUGCUGCAAACAUGAAGCUUACAGUCGAUCGUAAAAUGGAAAGGAUACCACGGAGGUAUUUCACACAGCAACUGGCGCAGGUCUUUUGCUAGCUUUGAUUCCUCUUAUAGCUACAAGGGAAUUGAAACCAUGACAAAUAUCAGAAUCACAUUGAAUUUUCAUGUAUUACAAUGUAUGCCUCCGGCUCAAAAUUUCAAAAUAUUUUUUUAAAGGUACCUUCAGCAUAAUCUUUAGCUCCAAACACAGCGGAACCAGCAACCAGUGCAUUAGCUCCAGCCUCAAUCACCUGCCAAAUAACAUAAUACUGAAAAUUAGAUCCUACAACUCAAAUCGGUUCAGUACAUAGAACACUUGUUACAUAUCUAAACCAAAAAAAAAAAAACUUGUUACAUAUCAUUCUAAACUAUAAGUGAUGGAAGACAUGUGAUUAUAUGUAUACAGCACCUUGUAAGCAUUUGCCGGGGUAACUCCACCAUCCACUUCAAUCCAUGGAUUCACACCCUAGUGAGAGAAAGAGAGACUAUUUAAAGAUUAUGUAAGAAAUAAAAAUCGGUACAUACACAAACACAAAUUAUUGCAGCAUACCUUCUCCGCACACAAUUUUCUCAAAUCAGAAAUUUUCUUUACUUGACUCUCGAUAAAACUCUGGCCACCAAAGCCAGGGUUUACGGACAUAAUUAAGACCAAAUCAACCACUGCGAUCACCAUAAUAAGAUUAUAAGAUUUUAUUGUUUUUAAUUACUAGAAGAACCUCAAAAAAAAGUAACUCAACAGACAUUAGUCUGAAAUGAAUAACAAAAUUUAAAUUUAUACUCCUUUACUUUUCCAAUUUAUUUCCAAACAAACCUUUUCUAUUCUGUUUAUAAAAUACAGUUACCAGUAUUUUCAGAGACAGAAAAAACGAAGUAAAAAACACAGGCUCACCAUCAAGGACAUAUUCUAUUGCACUUAGUGGGGUACCAGGGUUUAGGACAACUCCAGCUUUAGCUCCCAGACUUUUCACCUAAAUCAAGAGAACAUAAUUAGAUACACAAAUAUAAGUUGAGUUAUCUGUUAUUAUACUUAAAGGCUGAGACAUUACUUAACUAUUAAACCUUACACAUCCUUACUGUGUUCUUGCUGUGUUCUUGACAAAAUUGU
RNAcentral lists this long non-coding RNA (8925 nucleotides) under Trifolium pratense (red clover). RNAcentral describes it as "long non-coding RNA (TPRA_LNC012281)". The stretch from base 390 to 526 matches the Rfam family "MIR1120/MIR1122 microRNA precursor family". The record is from RNAcentral. Lineage: Eukaryota; Viridiplantae; Streptophyta; Magnoliopsida; Fabales; Fabaceae.